ACUUAUCAGUUUAUAAUUUGCCCACACUUAUAGGCUCUAACACUGGAAAAAAGUCAUAGUUCUCAUGAACUAUUAGCAGCCAACCAAAUUGAAGUGCAAAAAAAUCCCAAACACGCUAGUAAGAAAUCAUUUUUGUUCAUUUGUCUCAUUUUUCCUAAUGCUAUUCCAUUUUCUUUAACAAAUCACACAUGGAAGGUAAAGAUCCUGCUAAAUUCAAGAGUUUUGUUUAGCUUGUGGUCUUCAUUUGGGAUUAAUAACAAGAAUUUAUGGCAACUGGCAAGCAAUGACGAUUAGUAAGGGCAUUAACUAUUGAUGUAAUGAUUGUAUGUUAGCACAGUAAUGCACCUCAUAACAUUGCUCUAGCUCAUUUUGUAUAACAGUAUUUGGAACAAGCUUUUUGUUUUUUCUAGCAAGCAUUGAGUUCAAGCAGAAUCUACAGAAAAAUUCCUACUGAAUAAAUUCAGGGAUUCUGGAAGAAAUGAAGAAAUGGAAAAUUUUCAUCUUAGCUUCCAUAUGUCAUUGAAACUUUUGGCAUCUCAAAGCCAAAGCAAUGCCCUGAGCCAAAUAUCCAAUAUAUUGGAGAACUUUAUUUUGUCAAUAUUGUCUUCUCUUUGAUUUAU
This 620-nucleotide unclassified non-coding RNA is filed under the name Hevea brasiliensis (rubber tree). The record is from RNAcentral. Lineage: Eukaryota; Viridiplantae; Streptophyta; Magnoliopsida; Malpighiales; Euphorbiaceae.